RNAcentral lists this ribosomal RNA (330 nucleotides) under uncultured Aquicella sp. Its description in RNAcentral is "bacterial SSU rRNA". It matches the Rfam family "Bacterial small subunit ribosomal RNA", at positions 568 to 898 of the family's 1533-position model. The record is from RNAcentral. Lineage: Bacteria; Pseudomonadati; Pseudomonadota; Gammaproteobacteria; Legionellales; Coxiellaceae.
CGCGUAGGCGGUUUAUUGGGUGUGAUGUGAAAGCCUUGGGCUUAACCUGAGAAGUGCAUCGCAAACUAAUAGACUGGAGUAUAUGAGAGGGUGGCGGAAUUUCCGGUGUAGCGGUGAAAUGCGUAGAGAUCGGAAGGAACGUCAAUGGCGAAGGCAGCCACCUGGCAUAAUACUGACGCUGAGGCGCGAAAGCGUGGGGAGCGAACAGGAUUAGAUACCCUGGUAGUCCACGCUGUAAACGAUGAUGACUAGAUGUUGCUGGGGGAACCUAGCAGUAUCGAAGCUAACGCGAUAAGUCAUCCGCCUGGGAAGUACGGCCGCAAGGUUGAA